AGCGAACGCUGGCGGCAGGCCUAACACAUGCAAGUCGAACGAACUCUUCGGAGUUAGUGGCGGACGGGUGAGUAACACGUGGGAACAUGCCUUUUGGUUCGGAAUAACUCAGGGAAACUUGUGCUAAUACCGAAUGUGCCCUUCGGGGGAAAGAUUUAUCGCCAUUAGAGCGGCCCGCGUCUGAUUAGCUAGUUGGUGAGGUAACGGCUCACCAAGGCGACGAUCAGUAGCUGGUCUGAGAGGAUGACCAGCCACACUGGGACUGAGACACGGCCCAGACUACUACGGGAGGCAGCAGUGGGGAAUCUUGCGCAAUGGGCGAAAGCAUGACGAAGCCAUGCCGGGUGAAUGAUGAAGGUCUUAGGAUAGUAAAAUUCUUUAAACGGGGACGAUAAUGACGGUACCCGGAGAAGAAGCCCCGGCUAACUUCGUG
Molecule: ribosomal RNA, 433 nt
Filed under: uncultured bacterium
Lineage: Bacteria
Description: partial 16S ribosomal RNA
Rfam family: Bacterial small subunit ribosomal RNA
Source: RNAcentral